UGAAACUGUACUUCUUAGUGUUUCUUCGUCCAUAAUCCAUGGUCUGAAAAUAUUUGCAAACAAUACCUCAGUUCCUUGAAAUUUUCGUGAGAUGAAUGUUAUGAUGCGCAUGAAUGCAUGAAUGCAACAAUCACAAAUAAGGGAUCACACACAAGGAAACAAGCAAAGGUCAAGGGAUGAAUUAAGUCAUUGUCAAGAUCAAUCAUCCAUUUUGGUGGAUUAUGG
This 225-nucleotide long non-coding RNA is filed under the name Lathyrus oleraceus (garden pea). RNAcentral describes it as "Pisum sativum (pea) long non-coding RNA (PSAT_LNC030302)". Lineage: Eukaryota; Viridiplantae; Streptophyta; Magnoliopsida; Fabales; Fabaceae. The record is from RNAcentral.